CAUGCAGUCGAACGGUAACAUUUCUAGCUUGCUAGAAGAUGACGAGUGGCGGACGGGUGAGUAAUGCUUGGGAACUUGCCUUUGCGAGGGGGAUAACAGUUGGAAACGACUGCUAAUACCGCAUAAUGUCUUCGGACCAAACGGGGCUUCGGCUCCGGCGCAAAGAGAGGCCCAAGUGAGAUUAGCUAGUUGGUAAGGUAACGGCUUACCAAGGCGACGAUCUCUAGCUGUUCUGAGAGGAAGAUCAGCCACACUGGGACUGAGACACGGCCCAGACUCCUACGGGAGGCAGCAGUGGGGAAUAUUGCACAAUGGGGGAAACCCUGAUGCAGCCAUGCCGCGUGUGUGAAGAAGGCCUUCGGGUUGUAAAGCACUUUCAGUUGUGAGGAAAAGUUAGUAGUUAAUACCUGCUAGCCGUGACGUUAACAACAGAAGAAGCACCGGCUAACUCCGUGCCAGCAGCCGCGGUAAUACGGAGGGUGCGAGCGUUAAUCGGAAUUACUGGGCGUAAAGCGCACGCAGGCGGUUUGUUAAGCUAGAUGUGAAAGCCCCGGGCUCAACCUGGGAUGGUCAUUUAGAACUGGCAGACUAGAGUCUUGGAGAGGGGAGUGGAAUUCCAGGUGUAGCGGUGAAAUGCGUAGAUAUCUGGAGGAACAUCAGUGGCGAANGCGACUCCCUGGCCAAAGACUGACGCUCAUGUGCNNNNNUGUGGGUAGCGAGCAGGAUUAGAUACCCUGGUAGUCCACACCGUAAACGCUGUCUACUAGCUGUGUGUGCCUUUAANGCGUGCGUAGCGAANCUAACGCGCUAAGUAGACCGCCUGGGGAGUANNGCCGCAAGGUUAAAACUCAAAUGAANUGANNGGGNCCCGCACAAGCGGNGGAGCAUGUGNUUU
RNAcentral lists this ribosomal RNA (895 nucleotides) under uncultured bacterium. RNAcentral's name for it is "bacterial SSU rRNA". It matches the Rfam family "Bacterial small subunit ribosomal RNA", at positions 54 to 947 of the family's 1533-position model. The record is from RNAcentral.